This 494-nucleotide ribosomal RNA is filed under the name uncultured bacterium. Its description in RNAcentral is "partial 16S ribosomal RNA". It matches the Rfam family "Bacterial small subunit ribosomal RNA", at positions 28 to 507 of the family's 1533-position model. The record is from RNAcentral.
GACGAACGCUGGCGGCGUGCUUAACACAUGCAAGUCGAACGGUGAAGCGCCUUCCUUUUUGGUGGGUGUGGAUGAGUGGCGAACGGGUGAGUAACACGUGAGUAACCUGCCCCCUUCUUCUGGAUAACCGCAUGAAAGUGUGGCUAAUACGGGAUAUUCUGGGUCUGUCGCAUGAUGGGUCUGGGAAAGAUAUUGUUUCGGUGGGGGAUGGGCUCGCGGCCUAUCAGCUUGUUGGUGGGGUGAGGGCCUACCAAGGCGGUGACGGGUAGCCGGCCUGAGAGGGUGGCCGGUCACACUGGGACUGAGACACGGCCCAGACUCCUACGGGAGGCAGCAGUGGGGAAUAUUGCACAAUGGGCGCAAGCCUGAUGCAGCGACGCCGCGUGAGGGAUGGAGGCCUUCGGGUUGUGAACCUCUUUCGCCAGUGAAGCAGGCCUGCCUCGUUUGUGGGUGGGUUGACGGUAGCUGGAUAAGAAGCGCCGGCUAACUAUGUG